Molecule: ribosomal RNA, 497 nt
Filed under: uncultured bacterium
Lineage: Bacteria
Description: partial 16S ribosomal RNA
Rfam family: Bacterial small subunit ribosomal RNA
Source: RNAcentral
GACGAACGCUGGCGGCGUGCCUAAUACAUGCAAGUUGAGCGAUGAAGAUUGGUGUUUGCACCAAUUUGAAGAGCAGCGAACGGGUGAGUAACGCGUGGGGAAUCUGCCUUUGAGCGGGGGACAACAUUUAGAAACGAAUGCUAAUACCGCAUAACAACUUUAAACAUAAGUUUUAAGUUUGAAAGAUGCAAUUGCAUCACUCAAAGAUGAUCCCGCGUUGUAUUAGCUAGUUGGUGAGGUAAAGGCUCACCAAGGCGAUGAUACAUAGCCGACCUGAGAGGGUGAUCGGCCACAUUGGGACUGAGACACGGCCCAAACUCCUACGGGAGGCAGCAGUAGGGAAUCUUCGGCAAUGGACGAAAGUCUGACCGAGCAACGCCGCGUGAGUGAAGAAGGGUUUCGGAUCGUAAAACUCUGUUGGUAGAGAAGAACGUUGGUGAGAGUGGAAAGCUCAUCAAGUGACGGUAACUACCCAGAAAGGGACGGCUAACUACGUG